UUGAAAGGGAAACGAUUGAAGUCAGUCGUGCUGGCGCGAAAUCAACCUUCUCGUCUUGGGAUCACAUGGCGUGGCGAGCCUCAAAACCGUCACGAAGCGUGAACUCUUGGUGAAAUGGAGCACUUUCGUGUCCGCUGGUUAACAUCAAUUUCGAACGUCAUAAAAAGGCUGGAGGGAUGUGGCUCCUUCGGGAGUGUUAUAACCUUUAGCGGAAUGUGGUGGUCGGGAUUGAGGAUUGCAACGAAUACCUUUAGGGCUGUUCCACCUGGCCUCUCUUUGGUAUCCUGGUGACGACAGCUUGCUGAGCGUUGUUAGGAUUCGCCAUUGAACAGGCUAGAGUGUGAGCAAAUUCGUUAAGGAUG
This 362-nucleotide ribosomal RNA is filed under the name Entrophospora claroidea. Its description in RNAcentral is "partial 25S ribosomal RNA". Lineage: Eukaryota; Fungi; Glomeromycota; Glomeromycetes; Entrophosporales; Entrophosporaceae. The record is from RNAcentral.